This 484-nucleotide ribosomal RNA is filed under the name uncultured bacterium. RNAcentral describes it as "partial 16S ribosomal RNA". It matches the Rfam family "Bacterial small subunit ribosomal RNA", at positions 29 to 507 of the family's 1533-position model. The record is from RNAcentral.
AUUGAACGCUGGCGGCAUGCUUUACACAUGCAAGUCGAACGGCAGCGCGGGCUUCGGCCUGGCGGCGAGUGGCGAACGGGUGAGUAAUACAUCGGAACGUGCCCAGUAGUGGGGGAUAGCUCGGCGAAAGCCGGAUUAAUACCGCAUACGACCUGAGGGUGAAAGCGGGGGAUCUUCGGACCUCGCGCUAUUGGAGCGGCCGAUGGCAGAUUAGCUAGUUGGUGGGGUAAAGGCCUACCAAGGCGACGAUCUGUAGCUGGUCUGAGAGGACGACCAGCCACACUGGGACUGAGACACGGCCCAGACUCCUACGGGAAGCAGCAGUGGGGAAUUUUGGACAAUGGGCGAAAGCCUGAUCCAGCAAUGCCGCGUGUGUGAUGAAGGCCUUCGGGUUGUAAAGCACUUUUGGCGGGAACGAAAAGGACUGUGCCAAUACCACGGUUCGAUGACGGUACCCGCAGAAUAAGCACCGGCUAACUACGUG